Molecule: ribosomal RNA, 253 nt
Filed under: uncultured bacterium
Lineage: Bacteria
Description: partial 16S ribosomal RNA
Rfam family: Bacterial small subunit ribosomal RNA
Source: RNAcentral
UACGAAGGGGGCUAGCGUUGCUCGGAAUUACUGGGCGCAAAGGGCGCGUAGGCGGCACUGUUAGUCAGGCGUGAAAGUCCUGGGCUCAACCUGGGAACUGCGCUUGAUACGGCAGAGCUAGAGGAUGGAAGAGGGUCGCGGAAUUCCCAGUGUAGAGGUGAAAUUCGUAGAUAUUGGGAAGAACACCGGUGGCGAAGGCGGCGACCUGGUCCAUUACUGACGCUGAGGCGCGACAGCGUGGGGAGCAAACAGG